UCCCAGCUGUAAACGAUGCGGGCUAGGUGUUGGAGCGGCUACGAGCCGCUUCAGUGCCGCAGGGAAGCCAUUAAGCCCGCCGCCUGGGGAGUACGGCCGCAAGGCUGAAACUUAAAGGAAUUGGCGGGGGAGCACCACAAGGGGUGAAGCUUGCGGUUUAAUUGGAGUCAACGCCGGGAACCUUACCGGGGGCGACAGCAGAAUGAAAGCCAGAUUGAAGGUCUUGCUGGACGA
RNAcentral lists this ribosomal RNA (234 nucleotides) under uncultured bacterium. RNAcentral's name for it is "partial 16S ribosomal RNA". It matches the Rfam family "Archaeal small subunit ribosomal RNA", at positions 745 to 978 of the family's 1478-position model. The record is from RNAcentral.